GCCUUUCGGCAAUACGUAUUCUAGAAUAGGAACAAUCCAGAAAAGAUGAGUAAGGCCCCUGUGCAAGGAUGACAAGCACAUUCAUGAAGCGUUUCCUAUUUUU
Octopus bimaculoides (California two-spot octopus) is the source of this 103-nucleotide non-coding RNA. NCBI's taxonomy places the organism in Eukaryota, Metazoa, Mollusca, Cephalopoda, Octopoda, Octopodidae. The record is from Rfam.